This 512-nucleotide ribosomal RNA is filed under the name uncultured bacterium. RNAcentral describes it as "partial 16S ribosomal RNA". It matches the Rfam family "Bacterial small subunit ribosomal RNA", at positions 28 to 523 of the family's 1533-position model. The record is from RNAcentral.
GACGAACGCUGGCGGCGUGCCUAAUACAUGCAAGUCGAGCGGAACUGGGGGAGCUUGCUCCUUCCAGUUUAGCGGCGGACGGGUGAGUAACACGUGGGCAACCUGCCCUGCAGAUCGGGAUAACUCCGGGAAACCGGUGCUAAUACCGAAUAGUCUGGCGCCUCUCCUGAGGCGCCACGGAAAGACGGUUUCGGCUGUCCCUGCAGGAUGGGCCCGCGGCGCAUUAGCUAGUUGGUGGGGUAACGGCCCACCAAGGCGACGAUGCGUAGCCGACCUGAGAGGGUGACCGGCCACACUGGGACUGAGACACGGCCCAGACUCCUACGGGAGGCAGCAGUAGGGAAUCUUCCGCAAUGGACGCAAGUCUGACGGAGCAACGCCGCGUGAGUGACGAAGGUUUUCGGAUCGUAAAACUCUGUUGUGAGGGAAGAACACGUACCAACUAACUAUUGGUACCUUGACGGUACCUCACCAGAAAGCCACGGCUAACUACGUGCCGGCAGCCGCCGUAA